UAUCUCUGUAGAGUCUGCAUAUCAAUAAGCGGAGGAAAAGAAACUAACUAGGAUUCCCUCAGUAACGGCGAGUGAAGCGGGAAGAGCUCAAAUUUGAAAUCUUCAAGGUUUUACCUUGACGAAUUGUAGUUUAAAGAAGUGUUUUCUGUUGGAGUUUUGGUAAAAGUUCUUUGGAAUAGGACAUCAUAGAGGGUGAGAAUCCCGUAUUUGACCAUUAUUUCCAGCUUUGUGAUACACUUUCAAAGAGUCGGAUUGUUUGGGAAUGCAGUCCAAAAUGGGUGGUAAAUUUCAUCUAAAGCUAAAUAUUGGCGAGAGACCGAUAGCGAACAAGUACCGUGAGGGAAAGAUGAAAAGAACUUUGAAAAGAGAGUUAAACAGUACGUGAAAUUGUCAAAAGGGAAGCGUUUGACACCAGUGUUGUUUCUACGAAAAUCAAUUUAUGAUGGCUUGAUGCUAAGCUUUAAGACUUUAUCCGCUUGUUGUUUAGUUUUCUUGUCUUUGUGAAUGCACUUUUCGUGGAACAAGUCAACAUCAAUUUCUUUUGCUGUAAAAGGGUAAGAGGAAGGUGGCCUUCGGCUUCGGUUGAAGUGUUUCAUAGCCUUUUAUCUCUGCAGUCGGAGAGAUUGAGGUCUGCAGCGUAGACUCUUCGGGGUUAGAUACGUCGGUGCUAAGCUAUAGCUUUUCAUAGACAACUUGUUGACUAUGUUUAGUCAUGUGGCUUACCCGCUGGCGCUAUUUUACCUACGCUUAGGAUGUUGAGUCAUCACACAUCUCU
This 775-nucleotide ribosomal RNA is filed under the name uncultured Neocallimastigales. RNAcentral describes it as "partial large subunit ribosomal RNA". It matches the Rfam family "Eukaryotic large subunit ribosomal RNA", at positions 24 to 618 of the family's 3401-position model. Lineage: Eukaryota; Fungi; Neocallimastigomycota; Neocallimastigomycetes; Neocallimastigales. The record is from RNAcentral.